GGUAAAGACUCAAGCAUUUGAAGAUCAAUGAAGCAAAGAAAUGUACUCAAGAAACCAUGUGGCCAAAGAAGCUUCCCUCUUAUGGAGCACAUAUACUUAAGCUAAAAUCCUUUUCCAGGAGACAAUAUCCUGACAGUGGAGCAAUUCAGAUCAUUGUUU
Callorhinus ursinus (northern fur seal) is the source of this 159-nucleotide non-coding RNA. NCBI's taxonomy places the organism in Eukaryota, Metazoa, Chordata, Mammalia, Carnivora, Otariidae. The record is from RefSeq and is a predicted model, not a curated record.